This 340-nucleotide ribosomal RNA is filed under the name Werneria bambutensis (Bamboutos smalltongue toad). RNAcentral's name for it is "partial 12S ribosomal RNA". It matches the Rfam family "Bacterial small subunit ribosomal RNA", at positions 876 to 1384 of the family's 1533-position model. Lineage: Eukaryota; Metazoa; Chordata; Amphibia; Anura; Bufonidae. The record is from RNAcentral.
GGAACUACGAGCUAAGCUUAAAACCCAAAGGACUUGACGGUACCCCAUAUCCCCCUAGAGGAGCCUGUCCUGUAAUCGAUAAUCCACGUUUAACCUCACCACUUCUAGUUAAUCAGCCUGUAUACCUCCGUCGUCAGCUUACCACGUGAGCGCUAGCUAGUGAGCCCAAUGCUAUUUUACCAACACGUCAGGUCAAGGUGCAGCAAAUGAAGUGGAAAGAGAUGGGCUACACUUUCUAUAUUAGAAAAAACGAAAAACUAUUUAUGAAAUUUAGUUAGAAGGCGGAUUUAGCAGUAAAAAAGAAUCAACAUGUCCUUUUUAACCCGGCACUGGGGUGUGU